ACGCACGCUGGCGGCGUGCCUCAUCCAUGCAAGUUGAGCGCUGAAGGUUGGUACUUGUACCAACUGGAUGAGCAGCGAACGGGUGAGUAACGCGUGGGGAAUCUGCCUUUGAGCGGGGGACAACAUUUGGAAACGAAUGCUAAUACCGCAUAAAAACUUUAAACACAAGUUUUAAGUUUGAAAGAUGCAAUUGCAUCACUCAAAGAUGAUCCCGCGUUGUAUUAGCUAGUUGGUGAGGUAAAGGCUCACCAAGGCGAUGAUACAUAGCCGACCUGAGAGGGUGAUCGGCCACAUUGGGACUGAGACACGGCCCAAACUCCUACGGGAGGCAGCAGUAGGGAAUCUUCGGCAAUGGACGAAAGUCUGACCGAGCAACGCCGCGUGAGUGAAGAAGGUUGUCGGAUCGUAAAACUCUGUUGGUAGAGAAGAACGUUGGUGAGAGUGGAAAGCUCAUCAAGUGACGGUAACUACCCAGAAAGGGACGGCUAACUACGUG
This 496-nucleotide ribosomal RNA is filed under the name uncultured bacterium. RNAcentral's name for it is "partial 16S ribosomal RNA". It matches the Rfam family "Bacterial small subunit ribosomal RNA", at positions 29 to 507 of the family's 1533-position model. The record is from RNAcentral.